GGCCAAUGGCACCGCCCCGUCCGCCCCGCUCUGGGAACGCCGCUCCAGCAGAUGUGACAUAGACUGGAAGUGAUGGACCCAGACAACAAUCAGAACCAAAGCACCAGAUGAGCCACCUCAGCCACGUGAGCCAUGCCAGCCACCCUACCUGUGACCCCAUCUGUGGCCCCAGUUAUCAUGGAGUAGAGAUGCCAUUAAGAACAUUCAUGAUUCAUGAGAGGAGAUCAAAAUAUCAACAUAAACAGGAGUUUGAAAGAAGUUGAUUUCAACCCUUGUGGAUGACUAUGAGAGAUUCAAGGCUUCAGUGGAGAAUGCACCUACAGAUAUGGUGGAAACAGCAAAAGAAAUAGAAUCAGAAGUGGAGCCUGAAGAUUAAACUGAAUUGCUGCAAUCUCAUGAUAAAACUUGAACAGAUGAGGAGUUGCUUCUUACAGGUAUCCACACUGCCUCUGCUACCUGCCCGUUGGUCACUCACUCAUUGUUCUGAUGAUAAGAUCGACAGAUCACAAGAAGGCGAGUGUCAUGGGCAAAGCGAGGAGUCCAGCAGGAUGGACGCUGUGUGGUUUCUCAGCUGGAGCGCAGCAGGAGCAAGCGUGGAAACAUCCUUCUUUUCUCUUCUCCCCUCCCCUCCCCAAGUGCAAAUGGAACCUGUGAAAUAUGGCUUGAUUUUGAGGCUUCUAAUUCUUCAUUGCACUCCCAGACCCUUCUUUUAUCUCUGGUGGCAGCCCUGAGAAUAAAUCUCUUGGUCACAUUCUUCAAUCAGUUUCUCCCAGAGAAAAGGUUAGGCUGCAAGGAUGAUAGGAACCAGACUUCAAAUGGGUUUCCAGGAGCUGAGGGAAGGAAAGGUUUUUCCUACAGUUUCUCCAGCCAAGGGAUUAAGAAAAGGAUGGGGUCAUAGAGCAACAGCAGUAGAAGGUGGCAUUCCAAGACUUUCUCCAGGACUCCACCUAAGGUCAGUUUCUCGUCACUCAUACCUGUUUGUCUUUUGCCUGGCCACCAUCAAUGUAGAGUUAAGAACCAGGAGGCAGGAACAUGCUCCCCAAGUCACAGUCUGCCUCCCACAUACUGCAGUUUGAUUACAGCAUCCUGCCUCUCCACAGGAGGAAAGUGGUGUCAUUCUCCAGAACCAGGUGUGGAUUGUGAUCAGACCUAGAAUUGGCUAGGUAAAAAGCUUAAGAGAGAGAUUCCAUGUCCUGCAACACUGUCCACAAUUCAAAUCUGUAUUCAAAAUAAAACUAAAAGCAGAGAAAAUCCACAGCAGACCUACCACUCUCCAGGCAGAUAGUGCCCUCUCCACAAUCUGCAGCCAUCAACUGCCUCUGCUGGACGCUGCCCAGAGAGAGACCUGCUGCUGCAGAGCAGCUCUGUGUCAGCCACUGCGGCCUUAGAGAGAGCUGCAGGAAAUGGGACUUCUCACGUGCUCUCCACAGUGGAACCACAGGUCAGCAGCUGAAUGGAGCCUCUACCCUCUGGAUGCCUUUCUUGUCACUUAGUAUUCUUUUUUUUCUCAUUCUGGUACUUUAUCUGCUGGAAACUUUCAAAUGUAUUACUAAUGUCCUUCCAAACAGACUCCACAUGGGAAUUUUCAUGAUAUCUUGGCUAUAUUUACACAAAGAUUAGCUUGCAGGAAACAC
Molecule: long non-coding RNA, 1634 nt
Organism: Homo sapiens (human)
Lineage: Eukaryota; Metazoa; Chordata; Mammalia; Primates; Hominidae
Gene: TMEM72-AS1
Product: TMEM72 antisense RNA 1
Source: Ensembl